Molecule: ribosomal RNA, 825 nt
Filed under: Nolandella sp.
Lineage: Eukaryota; Tubulinea; Elardia; Euamoebida; Hartmannellidae
Description: bacterial SSU rRNA
Rfam family: Eukaryotic small subunit ribosomal RNA
Source: RNAcentral
GAUCAGAUACCGUCGUAGUCUCAACCAUAAACUAUGUGGACCAACGAUCCGAGGAAGUUACAUGGAUGACUCUCCGGGCAGUUUGUGAGAAAUCAUAAGUAUUUGCAUUCCGGGGGGAGUAUGGUCGCAAGGCUGAAACUUAAAGGAAUUGACGGAAGGGCACCACCAGGAGUGGAACCUGCGGCUUAAUUUGACUCAACACGGGGAAACUUACCAGGUCCGGACACAGUUAGGAUUGACAGAUUGAGAGCUCUUUCUUAAUUCUGUGGGUGGUGGUGCAUGGCCGUUUUUAGUUGGUGGAGUGAUUUGUCUGGUUAAUUCCGUUAACGAACGAGACCUCAACCUAUUAAUUAGUUAUGCGAUCAUGAGCUUCGGCUCUUUCCGAUCGUGGACAACUUCUUAGAGGGACUCUCGGCAUCUCUAGCCGAUGGAAGUUUGAGGCUAAAACAGGUCUGUGAUGCCCUUAGAUGUCCUGGGCCGCACGCGCGUUACACUGACGAAUGCAACGAGUUCUUCCUUCUCCGAUGGGAGUGGGUAAGCUUUUAAAAGUUCGUCGUGAUGGGGAUUGAACCUUGCAAUUAUUGUUCAUGAACGAGGAAUUCCUAGUAAGCGCAGUUCAUCAAACUGCGUUGAUUACGUCCCUGCCCUUUGUACACACCGCCCGUCGCUAGUACCGAUUGAAUGGUCCGGUGAGGAUUCAGGAUGGCAGAGCUUUAGCUUGCCCGAAAGGGUAAGCGUGUUCAGCCAGAAUCUGUUCAAACCGUGCCAUUUAGAGGAACUAAAAGUCGUAACAAGGUUUCCGUAGGUGAACCUGCAGAAGGAUCA